Non-coding RNA from Taeniopygia guttata (zebra finch), 14119 nucleotides. Lineage: Eukaryota; Metazoa; Chordata; Aves; Passeriformes; Estrildidae. The record is from RefSeq and is a predicted model, not a curated record.
UCAUCCUCUACAACUGCCUGAAAGGAGCCUGUGGCUAGGUGGGGGUCAGUCUUUUCUUCCAGACUGGACAAGUAACAAGUGAAAGUGACAGAACAAGACUAGAAAGCCUCAAGCUGUGCUAAUUGUACAUCAGGAAUCAUGGAAAAGAUUGUCAAACAUUGGAAUGAGCUUCCCAGGGAGGUGACUAUCCCUGGAGGUAUUCAGCAAAUGACUGGAUGUGGCACUUGGUACUAUGGCCUAAUUGACAAGGUUGGACCCUGUGAUUCCUUUUCCUACCUAAAUGAUUUUGUGCUUCUGUGAUGUUCAGGUAUCCCUUCAGGCCAUAGAGGACACAGUAGUACCCAGUACUUUCACAUUCUCUUUUGAGGAAAAAGGGCAAGGAGGAGUACAGAGACAAGACUUCUGAGCAGUCUGAGGCAGUGGUUCCACAAACUCUCUUGCUUUUAAUCUGAUUGCACAGUCUUAUGCUCUCAAAUUUAUAGGCAUCUUGCGAAUCCAGUGCAAACUUUCUCUGACCAAAUAUUUUGUCUUCCCUACAGUUUUUCUCAAAAGCUUCCCACUUUCUUUCUUGAGUCUCGUUCCGCCUUUCUUGUUUUUAAAAUUCAACACUUUAGGCUUUCCAUACAGUGUUGGAGAACCUGCCCCUUCAGGUGUUCCUUCAGGCCACCUUCAUAAAGUUCCAUUCUCCUGGCAAAUCCUCCUGCCUUCUCAUCCUUUAUAAUCCCUGUUUUUCUCAUGACCUGAAUUAUUAUCCCUGUAAUUUGUCUUGUCUUUGUUUGACUUGUCUACCUUCUGUGGGAAGCAGUGUAGAGUGGAGAAUGGGGCUUGCUCUGUCUCGAAGUUUGCAACUAUCUGAGUCCUCUUCAAACAGCAAUAAAUCUUAUAUCUGCCUCAUUAUGCCUCUGUUUCACAGUCUGUUCAGUCUGGAUCUGAUGGAAAAGCCCUCUGGCACAUUGGGAUUACAGAACAGCUCUCCCAGAAGUUCUGAGGGAUCCACACUGGAUUUUUCCUACAAUAAACCUUGAAAAUGGACAGCUGCUGAUAGCAGUGCUGAGAGUCCAAGAUUGGCAAGAGGUUUCUCCACAAGCAGAGUGAUGUUGUUGGUGUAUAAUGAAGGUCUUCUGUAAAACCAAAACUGAUAAAACAAGGGAUAAGUUUAGGUAUAUAGUUCUAUAUUGCUGAAUAAAAGGAGCUGGUAAUUGAUUCCUGGUCCCGAGGACAGGUAAAGCAAAUUUUAUCACCCUAUACCACCAUCUACUUCUGGAUGGGGUCCCUAAGGAACAAUUGUUAUUUUUGGUGUGUUGUAGGGUUUUUUGAAACAUGCUUAAAAAUAAAGACUGCAGACUUUUCUGCAAUUUAUAUAAACAGUGGGUUUACAGCAUAAAACUUAGUAUAUGCAUUCCAUGACCUUGAGUAGAGCGCGUAGACAGCGAUGGUUCAAUGCCUUUGGGAAAGAGUUGAAGGAAUGAGGAACUAAGUCUAAUGAGAAGAACUUAUUCAUGGUGCUUACUGGGAACAGCCCCGGACCAAGCUAUUUCCCAAGUCAAGGCUGGGUCUUGUAUUGUAUAAAGCUAGCGGUGGUCUUGUAAAGCAAAGCUGAGGGGUGAGCAAAGAAAUGAGCGCUGCAGACCAGUUGCUAUCCAGAGGCUAAGCUCCUCCAUGGACCUCUUUUAGCAGUAUGGAUGAUCAUGUCUCUCUCAUGGAUCUUUUAUGAGACCUCAGACAUCUUAUAAAAGCUUGCAGGUGGGGCAGUAAUAAGCCUCAUUUUCCCUCUCUACCCAAAGACUUAAUUUCAGAGAACCUGCAGGACUUCCUGGAUACAUUCACUGUUUUGUCAAGAUUGUUUCAAAGGUAGCUGAGAUAGGACUGGAAGGCAGCUACAGAGAAGUGUGCUUUUAGCGCCAGUAUGAACACAUAAGCCUCGCUUUGCUGAAAAAUGGGGCUGAAAUCAGAUCACAUCAACUCCAUAGUGUGUUAUGGGAGCAUUAUAAUUUCUGAGCGCCUCUGGCCCAGAAGAAAAUUAUGUCACUGUGUUCUAUAGCUCAGGGAGAAUACAAAGCUCUACACUUGAAGAUUUUCUUCAUUCUUGUCUGUCAGCUGAGACUGCGCACUAACUUUUAGUAUUCUACUAGCCCAGAACUGGGGCUAUAGUAAUUCCAUAUUUCAAAAGGGAAAAUAGUCCCUUUCAUUGCCUGUCUUAUCAGGUAUGCCAAAAGUUGUCCUAUUCCCAAGCACUCAGCCAAAUUCUAGGUAGCUCCACCAGUAAUUUGCAGAAAUUUGGUGCUCUUUAGUAGUUAUUUAUAAUUUUGCUUUCCUCAGUGAGAAGCUUCAGUCAAAAGCAUAGCACCAAUAAAGCCUGAAGGGGCCAAUGUAGCCUCAGAAUAUCUGUCCUUAUUAUCCAGCACCACCUGCAAUGACAGUGACAAAUACAUGAUUCCUUCCCAAGUAUGGCAAGGAGCUCAAAGUCCUCCACACCAAGCAGAUCAGAUUUCUUAAGCAAACAGAUCAUUUUCAAUCUGGCUUUAUAGUCAAGAUUCCAGCUAUUGUCAGAACUCAAGGAAAUUGUGGAGUUGGAGUACAGAAACCAGUGGCAUCAGGCCUCAUGUCACAUCUUACGAGGGAAGUUCUACUUCAGGCUCUGCAACUGCUUGUCAGAGAACCACUGUUCUUCUAGAACAAAGGGGAGUAGCCUGGUGAUGAGGAGCUGACAUCUGUGGCCCUGUGCAGUCUGCAAAGCUCAUAAGGCUGCACACUCUUUCAGCUAGAUAAGGCUCUUUGGUAUUUAUGGGAUUAUUAGUUAUUGAGAAUUAUGUCUGUUCUCAGAGUAGAACAUGCCAUUUAACUACAUUACUCAUUAUAUGAGUCACUAUGUUGAAUAACAUAUGCUUCCUAUAUUUGGUGGGAUGAGCCAAUACAUCACACUUCCAUCCAGAAUGGCAUUCUAAUUAAACACCACCAGCCUUCCUUUUCAACUGUAAAAGUCCCAAAACAUAAACUUCAUUGUCAUACAAAUUUAUUUUGUUUGGAUUUUUUUUUUUUUUGCAUAAUCAGUUGCAGGACCUGCAAUAUUAAGCCAAAUAUGCUGGUUAAUAGCACCUAGAUUAUACCAAGUUUGUAUGUGUCCUAAUGAAAGAUGUGCUAAUUGACAGCAGUCAGCUAGAUUAAAACAAACAGAAAGAGCAUUUAACUUUAAGGAUUUAUGCCUUUCCACUGGAACCAGUGAGACUAUUCAGGUGCUUACAGCUGAGGACAUGCAUAUUUGUUGACAUGGUUGCUACACCAUUGUUCUUGCAAGGAAGGAGUAGUGAUCCAUCAUCAUCAAGUGUAACGGGUACUAGGGGCUACUUUCAUUAGAGGGAACAGCAAAAUUCCCAUUGAUUUCAAUGGAAGCGGGGCAGGCUCUGACACAAAAGUAGUAAGCUUGUGUAAACAAAAGUUACAGAAAACGUUCCUCAUGACAAGUAUUUAUGAUGGCUCUGGAGCCUGAGAGUCUUUUGGGUGUGGAGCCUCUGAAAUAAAGCAGUUAUUAUUUCACUUUUCUUCAGUGCAAUUAAGACUAAGGCACAUCAACAGCACACUAAUUUUGAGUUUGUGGUGCUGACUUCUAAAAGUGAUAUUACCACAAGUCAGAGGUUUCUGAGAAAGCACAAGUUACAUUAAAACACAUUUCCACCUCUAUACAUUUAUUUAUUGACUUUCUCCUACAGCAAAAUUAGUUUUAGUUUUGCUGCUCUGGUGUUUCUAGAGCAGUGGUUAUCGCUCCCCUAGGGUGGGGAACCUCAAGUUUAUUCCAGUACAGAACCCCAUUACAAAUAUCAUGUAGAUGCUCACGCAGUUAGGUGAAUUUGCCUUUCCUAUCCCAUUUCUUACACCUUAAUGUAGCUAGCAGACACCUUACUACAGACAGGCUUCCAGUUGAAAAUAACUGUUAUAGUCAGUUCUGGGGGUUUAUGCCACGAAGAAAUACCAUUUCACAAUGUUUAGAUAAAGGUUUAGGUAAAAACUAACUCCACUACUUUCAUUGAAAAGUAAGUAGCUGAUUCCUCUAUGACUCAAGUCAAGUGGCAAAAAGCAGGAUAAAUAAACCAAAAAGCAUUUCAGACUACAAAUUCCAGAGAGGCUUCAGCUCAGGAUCCAAAACUGAGAGUAUCAGGGUUGCAGAGAUUAAUUCAUAAAGCUAAUUCAUAAAUACAGAAGUAUUUUCCAUUUAUAAAUUUCUGCAUCAUAUUUCCCAAUUAGAUCCUCAAAUUCAAAAUCUGUGUAAGACUUCCUUUUCAUAUUUGGAAAGUACAAAUUAUUGUCUUGGAGCCCAGCUAUGUAUUUGAUAAAGAUCUAGAAGGGAAACCUGAUGAAGGUACAAUAAAAAAUAGAUAAAAAUUAUCUAGCAAUCUGCUACAGUUAUACUUCUAUUCCAAGUGUCUUCUCAUUCUCUUUUAACUGAAAGUAUGAAUGCUAGCAGUAGUAAUGCAUUUACUCAUUAAAUUUUAUGAUCUAUAAUGGAAUUGAGGGUAUUGCCACUAGCCAGGAGAGUGCUUUUAAUGUUUUUUGAAUCCUUUUGAGCUUUUGACUUUGGGAUAUUACGUGCAGACACUUCUGUUAUGUAAACAAAUACAUUGUUUUGUUCUUCACUUGAACUAAAUUUUUUUAUUUUUUCCAGCAUCACUUUUUUUUACUAUGGUACUUGGUAUGCUUUUUCCUUAUUGUGAUGGAAGGACCAGAAUAGCAGCAAUUUGGAAGAUUUUUUUAAAGUCUAAUUGCUAGUAUGUUUUAUAAAAUAUGUCGAGAUGCUGACGACUGCAUUCUGAAUAGAUGCACUAUUUCACUCAAGUGGUACAAGUGUGACUGAAAAAACAUCUCACUAAAAUCUUUAUUUAGUGCUUUUCAGGGAUCAGACUAGUUCAUCACUAUGAUCUGGUUUUUAAAUCCUUACAUCUAUUAAUUCUAAUUAAAAUUACCUCUUUUUUUACCAGCCAAUCAAUUUAUUACUAUACCUCUUCAGUAUAGUUGAGAGACUGACUACUAGUUGUUCUUGACCAUUGGUUUUCAAUAACAUCCUAAUUCAUUACACCUCCUCUUAUAGCAGCGCCUGUAAGGUUUUACAGUAGCUCUUAAUCUUUAAACCUGAGAUGGAAGUGUAGGAGAAAUAAGAAUUCUACCCGCCAAGGAUUAAAUAUUUUAAUUCUCCAAGAGUUGAUAUGAACACUUUUAAAUCUAAUUUUCUUACUGUUCUGAGGUGUAAUUUCUCAAUUCUAGUUUUGAAUUGAUGCCUCCUAUGAGUUGUGAAAUUUAUUUAUAUUUUGGUCAAUACUGUGUUAGAGAUAUAGCUACUCCUUAAACAAACUGCUGUAUGGUACCUAGAAUUGCAAAGCAUAUCACACAGUGAAAGAAGGCCGUGCACUCAGAGCGCAAUGGAAAAGAUGUCAGCUGUUUUAAUAGCAGUUUAUUUAUAGAUAUUCUCUAAUCUGGAACUUCACCAUUUAAAAACAAUAUGGGAGCAAAAUAAGACAUCUGUACAAUUCUUUGAGAUUACUGGUUUUUCAUAAGAGGACUAUAAAGUCUCAUCUGUCUGAUAUUAAAGGCUUAGAUUUUUUUCCUGAAAAUAAAGGAUAUCUUCUUGCAGAGAAAUAAAAUUAGGAAUACAGACAACAAACUUUGCUGCACUUUUUUGGCCCAUGGUCCUUCCACGUGAGAAAGGCUGAAUUAUGUUUUGUGCCUGUGUCUGCCUGUGAGGUUACACUGCAAUGUAUGUACUUGAAAUUCAUGAACAGACUUGACCAGAAGAGAAGCUGUUAAAUCUAAAAACUUUUUGUGUGAAUCCUGCCUCAAACAUCAUAAUCUGUUUGUUCAUCUGAUAAUGGGAGAGGCUGCAACAUUAAGGGAAAAGAGAGUUUUUACAUACAAGCCUUGACUUGAACCCUGACAGCUUUUUACAAACUUAGUGUAAUAUAAAGCUUAUUCCUAGUUUUUGUGAAUAUGAGAUGUUCUGGAGUUUGCAGAAUAUAAAACAUGCCAAGUAUGCCUUUUUCCUCCUUUCUUUCAAUCUCUUUUCCUCACAGCACGCGUGGACUUUUCAUGAAUACUGUGACAAUUUCCUUCAACAAGUUGCUGGAAAGGGCUGUCCUUGAGUCCCUGAGUUCUGGAUUAGGAGCUAAAUCAACUCACCUCCAUGAGCAAAAUGGAAGAUAAAAAACUUCUUCCCUUCUCCCACUUUAUUUUAAAUCGGGGACUGCUUCCAAAACAGAUAUAUCAACAGUGAAAUUAUGGUGUAUUUUUUAUUUUUUAGUAAAGUAUUAUAGCCCAAUUGAGUGUCAUGAUACUACAGAAUAUUAUAAUACCUCAUUACUUAAUCUUCUGUGACUCUGCACAUGGCUGAGGUAUCACUGAGAUAAAUGGUCAUAAUAAUAUGACCAUUUUUGUGCAGUGUCACAUUCUUUAUUUUAAAGUAAACUGAUUCCAUUAUAGCGUAAGUUGUAAGGCUGUCUUGCUCUUUUAUUAACAGAAAAGCUUCAUUUUAUAAAAGAAAAGGAUGAAAGAACACACAGAGUAAAUAAAUCUUUCUUUGUGUGCCUCUGUUAAGUGUCUGUUUCCCAGGUGGUACAUGGCAAUACUGAAGGUUUAUUAUGACUGGGUUUUGCAACAGCAAUCAUACCCCAGGUAAGAUUUUUUUACCCCAGGUGAAAAUGCUCAGACAUGACUCAACAAAAAAAGAGAUCUUUGCAUUCCUACUGUUAAUUCUGUAUGUUGCAUAUUAAUAGGAGUUGUGGACAAAUACUUCUGUGCUCACAAUCUUUCACUGUGAAGCAGAGGUUCUAAACCAUUCAAGUUCCUCCUGGUUUUCCUGUUUGUUUUCAUAGCCUGUCAGAGUUUAGAUGUGCAAAGCAAUUUUCUUGUUACCCAAUCUUCUUGCCUAACAAUUAAAAGAACUUCAGCUAUGCUAUUAUAAUCAUGCUGAGAUAAACAUUAUGACCAUUUUACAAAUUAGGUAAAAAAUUGAACAGAUUAUAAAAAUGAAGAAUUUUUAAAGAAAACAGGUAACACCGCUUUGGUGUCUGUGACCACUUUUCAUUAUGUGCAGAUAUGUCUGAACUCAUCAGAGCCUCUGCCACUUUGUGUUUGUCUCCAAGGCAAAAUGAUCCUCUCUAGACUGUUUGAUUAAGCAAUCCAAUGACCAGAGUUCAUAACUGCAGCAUUUCUGUGAUACUUUCUGUGGCAUUUUGAGCCAUUUUUUGUUUCCAGUUGACUGCUGUCUGUUAGAAUCUUACAUCUGUCUUGCAACUCUGAAUGCAGAAUAAUUUCAAGGCUUAGGUUCAGUUUACAUGGUACCAAAAUCUCAGAGAAGUCCUUGUGAGGGUUCAACCCAAGAAGUGAGAAGACUGGUUUGUUCUGCUCUUCUGAGAUUGCUGCUUUCUUGAUCACACCAAACUUAAUUCAGAAAGGAAGAUCCACUCUAGCCUUAACCCAACACAUCCCUGGGAAGGAAGGGGAUGGAGGCCCUCAAGGAUGAAAGGAAGGGUGGGAGGCCUGACAGGUGCUUCUGGUUCAGACCUGUAUCAAAUAUUUAUUCAUCGUGACUACAAAGGCCCAGAAACUGCUGUAUAAUUUCCCUUGCCCACUCUUUGAUUUCUGUACUUGCAUUUUGCCACCUUUAGCUUGACUUUGAUUAAUGAGAAUCCAGGGCUCUGGCUGGGUUUUCUGAGAUUUUAAGUGCAACUUUGAGCAACGUGGAGUACUUUCAUUUGCUGUUUGUUACUAACUUCUUUUUUAGCCAUGGUGAACUGAAAAAUGUUGUUCUUUGAGUACUAAAAAGCACAACAGUGUUCAGGUAAAUUGGCCUCAGAAUCUGUUUCAUCAUAAUGAAAGCAUUUACAUCACUGCAGAGGUUAAUUUCCCUGCUUCUGCAGUGCUAUCCACAUGUGUUGGCCUUCCCAGGUUAUUUUAAUAAAUGACUGUCAAAGUAGCUACAGGCAUUCUGGUGCUGGAACAGAGCAUGGUUUUGCAAGGCAAACAUCUGUGGGGUUUUCCAGAUGCAGGAAGAGCGUGGAAGUGGGUGUUAUCUCUCAAUGGAAAGGGAGGAAUGUGGCUAGCAGCAGCAAAUACACCAAAACAAGUGAGUAAAUAUAUCUUUAUUUUGCCAUUGAGAACAAAAUAAAAUAAGGAAGACAAGGAAAAAAAAAAAAAAAAAGAAAAAAAGGAGAGUAUAAAAAAAAUUAUAUCUGCAUGAAAGGGAAAAUUUUUCAUGUUUUUAUUUUUGCAUGGCUGUUUUCCACAACCUGGGACUGUUCAAAGCACAAGAAGGGAAUUUCCCCAGGAACUUCUCACAUUGACACAGCUGGAACUGUUAGGGACAAACAAGGUUUCAUAGAUGCCACAGAGAUGUUGUGAGAAUCAGUCCUGAUUAGCAAAAGGAAUUAAAUUUUCCAUCUAGGACUAAAUAAAAGAACUUCUGCCUUCCUUCUGGCUUUCUUGGCUGAGGUCACACUUUUACCACUUCAUCUUGGGUCACUUGGAGCAUCAGCUGCUAAUUUCAUCUGGCAGGGAGGAGCCUCCCUCCUAAUGAACAUGUGGGUUUCAAACAGAGUCUGUCUUAAAAUCUUUGACAAAUUAUGAAGUUUAAUAUAUAUUUUCUCUCAGAAUUCACUUGAUGCAAAACUGCCUGAGGGAUGUCUUUAUAUAUUCACAACACACAUGAAAGAGAGCCAAACCAGGGCAGAAAUGUACAGCAGAGGUAAAACAUGUGUGAGGAACCUCUUGCUGCUGGGCUGAAGAUCAGACAAGCUUAUAAAAAGGGCAGGGAAUGCUCAUUAUGGACUGAGUCAGCCCAGCAGCUGUGAGGCUCCUCCCUCCCCACUUCAAUGAUUUUAUUGUUCACCCAAGCCACUGUCAGACACUCAGGAGAAAUCCUCUUGGCCCUGUAUCUGCCCCUCUGUUGGAUGCAAUCAGGCCUAGACAACUUGGUGCUUCAGUUGUCUUGGUGAGGUCUUGCUUGAUGUGACCUAUUCUGAUGGGAUGCAAAGGCAGGGGACACCAGGGCUGCUGUGCAGACCUGACCCGUGCACCAUCCUGGAAAUCACAGCUGAGCUUAAGUGAAAUAAACAACAAAUUUUCCCAGAGUACUAGAUGAAUGCUGACUAGAACUGCAAGUUUCAGAUGCUUAAAUUAGAUCUCCCUGUGGCUGCAGGUGCAGAUUUUCCCCAUACAACUAAUAAUGGCUCAGACUGUUGGUGUAUUUUUUCAGAUUUUUUUUUUUUUUUUCAGAUUUUACCACUCGGGUUCACUUUGGGCUUGGCAUUCUCUUUAACUCUGCUACUCACUGCGCUAUCAACUGCCAAAUGCAUUUCCAACAGCAUAAAAUCUGAUAAUUUAGAAUUGCACUGUUUCCUGACCUUGUUCCUUCUUUUAAAAGUUAUUUUGGGGAGGAAAAAUGCAUCUGAACUGUCAGGGAAAGGACAACAGUUUCCUUUCUCUUUUCUUUCUCGCCAUUGAGAAAAGAUUUGUUGGUCAGUAAGGAGCAUUAUGUCCAAGUCUCCAAGGACAGCCCUAGUCCUCUCUAAAACAGCUUGUUUUAUCUGUGUGCCCUAGACAAAACCAAAUGGCAUCGAAAGAAUUCACGGUGUUCAAUGAUAAAAACAAACAAAUAUAUAAAUACACACAUAUCUACAUAAGGAAUUCUAGACAUUAAAAAGCCUUAAGACCCAAAACAUGUUCAAAGCAGAGUCCUGCUAUGAUCUGCACCCACUGGUGUGAAAUAAAUGAACUUUGGCUGUCAACAUCAUAGGGAGUUCACCUGUCUGACAUCAGAGACAGCCAAGGAGGAUGCAGCCACAGAGAGGUUACCUGUUUUGUUUGAGAAAAUCCAAGCCUUGAGUGCAUACAAUCAUCUUUUCACAGUAUGUUAAACAGUUUCUGGUUAUUGGAGGGCUGGCUGAUCGCAGGUGUGAAAGAUCACUUUGUAAUAUUUUGUCUGUCUGUCUCCACAGCAGUUGUCCCUUCUGCCAUAGUAUCUGACUGCCUUUAAUCUAUCAAUUUACACACAGGUGAUGCACACCACUUUAUUUUGGUUUCAUCUUUAAAGCAUUUUUGUAAUAUUUCAGUUCUCACAAGGUUCUGGAUGCUGAUAUCCUCACAGUGUGAAGAGAUAAACUCCUUGUUAAAGUUAAAAAAGACCUAAAAUUCUUGCUCUGAGAGGUAGAGGGCCAUCUGAACCUGGGGCAGUACUUAAAAACUCCUAACUUGUCAUUUUGAAUCUCAAAAAGCAGAUAUUGUUGCUAACAGUGCAAAGAAUCAUAUGUACUGGUCUGGGUUAAUGUGUCCUUCCCCUUACAACUUCACAGUGUAGACACUUCACUGUAAACAGAGAUCUUAUAUCUAGCAGUGUGUGUUAACAAGUUCCCUCUCCUCCAAGAGUCUGCUGGGUUUACUGGGUUGCUGAGUUAUACAGCUUUCUCCCUCUCAUGAUCCUUUUGUCAUAUAUAUGCGCAAUAUGCAGUGGAAGGGCAAGUAACCAAGCUUAUUUCAGUUUCAUUAGAAGUCAGAUCCUGAGUCCUUCUGGUUUUGAGUUAAAUCCGUUGCACUAGCUCAGCAUGUGUUUCUGGUUGCACUUAAGGGCGAGGCACCUCCGCUCUCGCUGGGAAGCUGAUUUCUGCCCGAGGCUGGGAGCGCUGCCUAAUUGCUCUGCAGAGGAGGCGUAUCCGUGCGCCCGCAGUAACCUGCUGCAGAUUCCCCCCAGAGCGUAGCUACAGCCACGCUGCAGUACAACCAACUUUUGCAGGCCAUCAGGAGAAACAGGAAACUCAGGAAAUGACCGGACAGACCCACCAAGAUUUUAAAGGUUAUUUACAACACCAGGUAGAAAUUCAAAAUGUGAAAGACCAUGUUGGCACGGCUUAAGCCAGAAAGCCUCAGGCUGGCACUUUUGUGUCACUGUUUGACAUGACUUUGUAUAAAUCUCAUGUAUAUAUUGCAAUGGUACAGUCCUAUGAAAGCCUCAGUUCACCUUUCUAAACAGCCCAGCAUAACACAAUAGAACCAUUUUAAUCUGCACUGAGAUUAAAUCUGAGCACUCUAAAUCAGACUUUUCCUUUCACAGAAUGUAAACAAUCAAAUCUCACUGUGAAGCCCUUUCCUGCUUUACUCAGCAAGAGGCUCUUAUAUUUCACCUCUCUUUUAUUUAGUGAAAAUGCUCUUAUUUAAAAGACACUUUAAAUAAAAGUGUUUCAUAUUCAACAUGAGGUAUCUGAAAAUCUGUUUUAUCCCGGCACUAUAGAGCUGGAGGAAAUCUGACCUGAGCAACACUCAGAAAAAGUUUUUAAAGAACCAUGGUCAGAUUAUCGCCCUCACUUCUGUCUAAAUCCAGAAUGUAUCUACUGAUUUCUGAAGAACUUGUCCAGAGUUACAUAAGAGAAAGCAAGAUUUUAAUGGAUAGUUUGCUUUUUCAAGACUCUUGUUUUUGUAGGUCUCACCCUUGCAGUGCUCUGCUCCAAGUAACUUGCUCUACCUCCUGCUACCCCCAAGUGCUUUUCCUCGCAUACCUUCUUGCUCAGUUGGAUAUUUAGGUACCUGUAAAUGCAGUAAAGCCUUCUCAUUGCCAGAUGAUCUCCCAGGCCUCUGUCUCCACCAGGCACAUCCUGGUGAGAGCCUCCAGUCUGCUCCUCUGGGAAGAAGCCUGAACCGAGGGUGGGUUCUCCUGCCCUUCUAGGGACUUGCCAGGUGAGACAAGCACACCCAGGAACCAAAAGGCAGCUUUAACCCUCUGAGGCCAAAUCAGGAGGUCAGCAAGAGGCCACUUGUGACAUGACAUCCCAUGUGCACUGCCUAGCCCUGUUCUUUGGCAAGCUUCUUUCUUUCUGCAAGGAAUGUUAGCUAAUGUCAGUCAUUUAAAAAAUGCAGUUCACUUUCUAAUGAAAUCACAGAGAGGGAGGGGAGACCAAGAAAAAGAGGAGAAACUGGCAGGGAAGCCCAUCAUUCUAGUCUGUAAUAAUCAAAUGGUGCUUGAAUAUAUACAUUAAGAAAGCGUCAUUUGCCCUCCCCCUCCUCAGAGACUAAUUUAAAAUAUUAAAUUAUUAAAUAAUAUCACAGUUUUUACAAAUUUCUAAUACUAUUGUGCUGCAAAUCCUGUCUGAUCCAACCCUCAAAUAUUUAUGUAAACUUAAAUAUGUCUGGAAAGAAGUCAAAAAAAUCCCCCAAAUAUGCCACACAAUCUCAUUCCCACAUAUCCCUCCCUCCUCAUUUAUAUUCAAACCUUUUCCAGCUAGUUCCCAGCUGGUAGGUGGUGGUUGAUGAGUGACAAGUGCAGAGCCCAUUUCUUUGAGUGCAUUGAUGGCCAAACCUUUUGCCAAACAAUUUAGUCUGGAAUUUUCAGUAGUUGCAAAAAAUAUUUUACAGCAACCUCUAUUUUUUCCCCCCUUUGGAAAUAGAUACAUGUAGUUUGGAAAUUUUUAUUAUUUAUUAUUAUUGACAGUGUUCAGAAAGAGGUAACUUUUAAAAAACAUUAAGUUGAAGUCUUUCUAGUCUAGGGUGCAGGGUAUACUUACACACCAUAUCCUACUUAGCUACAGGUUCCAGUAAAAGCAAGAUAGAUAACUGUGAAAUGCAGGCACUUAUAAAUCUUUCUGUACCAUUUGCAAAUUGCAUCUGUCUCUCUGUUUCUUUGCAGUGGUACGGUUGACAGAUGCUGCCAAUUCACUUCUCUGGAUCGGCAGAGCUGAGCAGUGCAAGGGUUGUGUGUAAAAUGUGACGCAUUGUCAACUGACUCCUGUACCUGAUGGUCCCUCCAGAGGUGAUGAAAGCCUUCAAUUUCAUUGGCUUCAGUGGUGGAGAAUGCUGCCAGGGCUGGAGAGGCCGGGGUGUGACAGGCAGCUCCCCACUGAGGGGGGAAUGACAAGCUGUGUCUGUAGUGUGCAAUGUCAAGAAAGCUGGGAACCCCUGUUCAUAAAGCACCAGAAUUAUUUGUGCCUGAGUACUCAGUCUCUUGAAGCAUAGGACCUUCUUGGGAAGACAGUUGUUACUCCCUUCAUAAAACCAAUCCAACACUUCUGCCUUAUAUGGGGGCCUUUUGAAGCAUAUUUUUUCCUCAUAUGCAGCUAUUUCAAACCCUUCAUUUUGAAAGAAGAUUGCAUCAGCUGCUGCUGUGCAAGGUCUGGAUGACCCUGCCUGCUGAGCAGCUCCAGGGCAGCCAUAAAUUGAAGAAGCACAAAAUUCCAAAGCCACAGAGGUGGCCACAUCCUCCUGCUCUGCGGUGGAAGGGGAAAAUGCAGAGCAGAAAACAGAGCCUCCUCCAUGAUGCUGUAAUGAUGAUGGAGUGCUAGCGGUAACCACAGAAGCAGAAUAGGAAAAUACCUUUUCAAGUGGAUUCUUUUUAACAGUCAGAUAUGCUGAUCUGCUCUUACAGGAAUAUUUCCAAGCAAGAAUGAAAUUAACUAAAUCUGAAAUCUGUAUGACUUUGGGACAUACUUAGGAGAAGGAAACUAAGUAUGUCACCAGCUGGUUGUGCAGCAGCAAGAAGAAAAGGUGGUGGUUUACCCUGUUUUAUGUUUCUAUUUAAAGGAUUGAAUGCACAACAUGAAGCCUAGUAGAACUACAAGCUGGAGUUCUGAUGCAACAACAACCUUUCCCCCCUGCUUUCUUUCUGUCUUCAAAAGCAAAGCUCUGACUAUAUUCAGUUGUUCUUCAUUCUCCCCCUGACAGUUUGUAUCAGUUCCUCGCCCAGCUCUCUGAGGGAUGGGACAUUCAUGUAGUCAGGGUGACCAUUUCAGUUCUAAGAGACUGCCCACACAAGCCUCUCACCACUCCUCUUCUGCUGUCUGGUGGCCUCAGGUGGGUGAGGGGGGAUCUCACCCGGGAGAGCAUCCUGAUCCCCCAGAAACAGACCUCAGAGAAAGAUGCUGUCUUCAAGCUGGUUCCAUAAUGGCAAGUCAGUCCUAACAAAGCAGAGAAUAUCUGUAUUUGGAUUACUUUCUCCUUUCUUACAAAUAUCCUAGUGAGUGUGAGUCACCUGAUUUCUUCUCCCACUUUUAACACAGUAUUUUGCAAAUAUUUUUCACAUUUGAAGCCUGUCUUUCCAUAUCUUGGUGAACUGUUAAAUGAGAAUUGUAAAGAUAUUAUAUUUUUUCCAAAGACUGCA